Molecule: ribosomal RNA, 200 nt
Filed under: uncultured bacterium
Lineage: Bacteria
Description: partial 16S ribosomal RNA
Rfam family: Bacterial small subunit ribosomal RNA
Source: RNAcentral
AGAGUUUGAUCCUGGCUCAGAAUUAACGCUGGCGGCGUGCCUAACACAUGCAAGUCGAGCGAGAAAGAGGUUCGCCUCAAGUACAGCGGCAAACGGGUGAGUAACGCGUAGGAAUCUACCUUUCGGUGAAGAAUACCCUCGAGAAAUCGAGAUUAAUACUGCAUACGCCUAACGGAGAAAGAUGGCCUCUUUGCUGUCGC